GCACAACGCGAAGAACCUUACCAACCCUUGACAUGUGUAUCGCGGUUCCAGAGAUGGUUCCUUCAGUUCGGCUGGAUACAACACAGGUGCUGCAUGGCUGUCGUCAGCUCGUGUCGUGAGAUGUUCGGUUAAGUCCGGCAACGAGCGCAACCCACACUUUCAGUUGCCAUCAUUCAGUUGGGCACUCUGGAAGAACUGCCGGUGAUAAGCCGGAGGAAGGUGUGGAUGACGUCAAGUCCUCAUGGCCCUUACGGGUUGGGCUACACACGUGCUACAAUGGUGGUGACAAUGGGUUAAUCCCCAAAAGCCAUCUCAGUUCGGAUUGGGGUCUGCAACUCGACCCCAUGAAGUCGGAAUCGCUAGUAAUCGCGUAACAGCAUGACGCGGUGAAUACGUUCCCGGGUCUUGUACACACCG
Molecule: ribosomal RNA, 417 nt
Filed under: uncultured bacterium
Lineage: Bacteria
Description: bacterial SSU rRNA
Rfam family: Bacterial small subunit ribosomal RNA
Source: RNAcentral